UACGGAGGGGGCUAGCGUUGUUCGGAAUGACUGGGCGUAAAGCGCGCGUAGGCGGAUUGGCAAGUUGGGGGUGAAAUCCCGGGGCUCAACCUCGGAAUGGCCUUCAAGACUGCUGGUCUUGAGUUCGAGAGAGGUGAGUGGAAUUCCGAGUGUAGAGGUGAAAUUCGUAGAUAUUCGGAGGAACACCAGUGGCGAAGGCGGCUCACUGGCUCGACACUGACGCUGAGGUGCGAAAGCGUGGGGAGCAAAC
RNAcentral lists this ribosomal RNA (250 nucleotides) under uncultured bacterium. Its description in RNAcentral is "partial 16S ribosomal RNA". It matches the Rfam family "Bacterial small subunit ribosomal RNA", at positions 524 to 773 of the family's 1533-position model. The record is from RNAcentral. RNAcentral also lists the same sequence under 1 other name.